AGAGUUUGAUCAUGGCUCAGGAUGAACGCUGGCGGCGUGCCUAACACAUGCAAGUCGAGCGAUUCUCUUUGGAGAAGAGCGGCGGACGGGUGAGUAACGCGUGGGUAACCUGCCCUGUACACACGGAUAACAUACCGAAAGGUAUGCUAAUACGAGAUAAUAUGCUUUUAUCGCAUGGUAGAAGUAUCAAAGUUUUUGCGGUACAGGAUGGACCCGCGUCUGAUUAGCUAGUUGGUAAGGUAACGGCUUACCAAGGCGACGAUCAGUAGCCGACCUGAGAGGGUGAUCGGCCACAUUGGAACUGAGACACGGUCCAAACUCCUACGGGAGGCAGCAGUGGGGAAUAUUGCACAAUGGGCGAAAGCCUGAUGCAGCAACGCCGCGUGAGCGAUGAAGGCCUUCGGGUCGUAAAGCUCUGUCCUCAAGGAAGAUAAUGACGGUACUUGAGGAGGAAGCCCCGGCUAACUACGUGCCAGCAGCCGCGGUAAUACGUAGGGGGCUAGCGUUAUCCGGAAUUACUGGGCGUAAAGGGUGCGUAGGUGGUUUCUUAAGUCAGAGGUGAAAGGCUACGGCUCAACCGUAGUAAGCCUUUGAAACUGGGAAACUUGAGUGCAGGAGAGGAGAGUGGAAUUCCUAGUGUAGCGGUGAAAUGCGUAGAUAUUAGGAGGAACACCAGUUGCGAAGGCGGCUCUCUGGACUGUAACUGACACUGAGGUACGAAAGCGUGGGGAGCAAACAGGAUUAGAUACCCUGGUAGUCCACGCCGUAAACGAUGAGUACUAGCUGUCGGAGGUUACCCCCUUCGGUGGCGCAGCU
RNAcentral lists this ribosomal RNA (816 nucleotides) under uncultured bacterium. RNAcentral describes it as "bacterial SSU rRNA". It matches the Rfam family "Bacterial small subunit ribosomal RNA", at positions 8 to 853 of the family's 1533-position model. The record is from RNAcentral.